UGGCCUAACACAUGCAAGUCGAACGAUAUAGUGGCAGACGGGUGAGUAACGCGUGGAAACGUGCCUUUCACUACGGAAUAGCUUUUGGAAACGAAAGGUAAUACCGUAUACGCCCUCCGGGGGAAAGAUUUAUCGGUGAAAGAUCGGUCCGCGUUAGAUUAGCUAGUUGGUGAGGUAACGGCUCACCAAGGCUACGAUCUAUAGCUGGUCUGAGAGGAUGAUCAGCCACACUGGGACUGAGACACGGCCCAGACUCCUACGGGAGGCAGCAGUGGGGAAUAUUGCACAAUGGGCGCAAGCCUGAUGCAGCCAUGCCGCGUGAAUGAUGAAGGCCUUAGGGUUGUAAAAUUCUUUCGCCAAGGAUGAUAAUGACAGUACUUGGUAAAGAAGCCCCGGCUAACUUCGUGCCAGCAGCCGCGGUAAUACGAAGGGGGCUAGCGUUGUUCGGAAUUACUGGGCGUAAAGCGCACGUAGGCGGACUUUUAAGUCAGAUGUGAAAUCCCGAGGCUCAACCUCGGAACUGCAUUUGAAACUGGGAGUCUAGAGAUCAGGAGAGGUUAGCGGAAUACCGAGUGUAGAGGUGAAAUUCGUAGAUAUUCGGUGGAACACCAGUGGCGAAGGCGGCUAACUGGACUGAUACUGACGCUGAGGUGCGAAAGUGCGGGGAGCAAACAGGAUUAGAUACCCUGGUAGUCCACAC
Molecule: ribosomal RNA, 700 nt
Filed under: uncultured Bacteroidota bacterium
Lineage: Bacteria; Pseudomonadati; Bacteroidota
Description: bacterial SSU rRNA
Rfam family: Bacterial small subunit ribosomal RNA
Source: RNAcentral